GCAGUCGUGGCCGUGUGGUUAAGGCGAUGGACUUGAAAUCCAUUGGGAAUUUCUCGCGUAGGGUCGAAUCCUGCCGACUGCG
Non-coding RNA from Uloborus diversus, 82 nucleotides. The record is from the annotation of a RefSeq genome assembly. Lineage: Eukaryota; Metazoa; Arthropoda; Arachnida; Araneae; Uloboridae.